Schistosoma mattheei is the source of this 45-nucleotide non-coding RNA. The record is from Rfam. NCBI's taxonomy places the organism in Eukaryota, Metazoa, Platyhelminthes, Trematoda, Strigeidida, Schistosomatidae.
AUUCGGCUGACGAGUCCCAAACAAGACGUAACGCGCGUCCUGGAU